CCUACGGGUGGCAGCAGUGAGGAAUAUUGGUCAAUGGACGAGAGUCUGAACCAGCCAAGUAGCGUGAAGGAUGACUGCCCUAUGGGUUGUAAACUUCUUUUAUAUGGGAAUAAAAUGUUCCACGUGUGGGAUUUUGUAUGUACCAUAUGAAUAAGGAUCGGCUAACUCCGUGCCAGCAGCCGCGGUAAUACGGAGGAUCCGAGCGUUAUCCGGAUUUAUUGGGUUUAAAGGGAGCGUAGGUGGAGUGUUAAGUCAGUUGUGAAAGUUUGCGGCUCAACCGUAAAAUUGCAGUUGAAACUGGCAGUCUUGAGUAGAGUAGAGGUGGGCGGAAUUCGUGGUGUAGCGGUGAAAUGCUUAGAUAUCACGAAGAACUCCGAUUGCGAAGGCAGUUCACUGGACUGCAACUGACACUGAGGCUCGAAAGUGUGGGUAUCAAACAGGAUUAGAUACCCCAGUAGUC
RNAcentral lists this ribosomal RNA (460 nucleotides) under uncultured bacterium. RNAcentral describes it as "partial 16S ribosomal RNA". It matches the Rfam family "Bacterial small subunit ribosomal RNA", at positions 338 to 795 of the family's 1533-position model. The record is from RNAcentral.